UACGGAGGGUGCAAGCAUUAAUCGGAUUUAUUGGGCGUAACGGGCGCGUAGGCGGAUGAGUAAGUCAGAUGUGAACUUCCGAAGCUCAACUUCGGAGCUGCAUUUGAAACUGUUUAUCUUGAGGAAUGGCGGAGAAAAUGGAAUUCCACGUGUAGCGGUGAAAUGCGUAGAUAUGUGGAAGAACACCGGUGGCGAAAGCGGUUUUCUAGCUUAGACCUGACGCUGAGGCGCGAGAGCAAGGGGAGAAAACAGG
This 253-nucleotide ribosomal RNA is filed under the name uncultured bacterium. RNAcentral describes it as "partial 16S ribosomal RNA". It matches the Rfam family "Bacterial small subunit ribosomal RNA", at positions 524 to 776 of the family's 1533-position model. The record is from RNAcentral.